This 500-nucleotide ribosomal RNA is filed under the name uncultured bacterium. RNAcentral's name for it is "partial 16S ribosomal RNA". It matches the Rfam family "Bacterial small subunit ribosomal RNA", at positions 30 to 523 of the family's 1533-position model. The record is from RNAcentral.
AUUGAACGCUGGCGGCAUGCCUUACACAUGCAAGUCGAACGGCAGCACGGACUUCGGUCUGGUGGCGAGUGGCGAACGGGUGAGUAAUAUAUCGGAACAUACCUUGUAGUGGGGGAUAACUAUCCGAAAGGAUAGCUAAUACCGCAUACGCUCUAUGGAGGAAAGCGGGGGAUCGUAAGACCUCGUGCUAUAAGAGUGGCCGAUAUCUGAUUAGCUAGUUGGUGAGGUAAAGGCUCACCAAGGCGACGAUCAGUAGCUGGUCUGAGAGGACGACCAGCCACACUGGAACUGAGACACGGUCCAGACUCCUACGGGAGGCAGCAGUGGGGAAUUUUGGACAAUGGGGGCAACCCUGAUCCAGCAAUGCCGCGUGAGUGAAGAAGGCCUUCGGGUUGUAAAGCUCUUUUGUCAGGGAAGAAACGGUUGUGGCUAAUAUCCAUGGCUAAUGACGGUACCUGAAGAAUAAGCACCGGCUAACUACGUGCCAGCCGCCGCCGUAA